AAUGUAAGUAAGGAGCUUGCGGAGAAGGAGAGUAUUGGCGAGAACUCUAAAGUAGAUCAUGAACAAAGUAAGGAUGGAAGUAAGAUUGAAAAUGAGGGCAAUAAGGAAGCUGCUGAUAAGGAAAGUGCAGGUGAGAUUGAAAAAGAACCAUCUACAGAAGAAAAAAAUACUGAGAACAAUGAUAAGAGCGAAAAUAGUGAAAGCAAGGAUAAGGAAAACAAAGUAAGUGACGAGGCUACAGCUGAAGGUGGCCCAUUCAAAUCAUUUCAACAGCUUUCGAGUAGUCAAAAUGCCUUCACAGGUCUUGUUGGAAGUGGAUUUUCUUCUUCCUUAUUUUCCUUUGGGCCUAAAACAAAUGAUGGGUCUGCUUUAGGUAGUGGAACUGGUUCUAUUUUUGGCUUGAAACUUGACCAGCCUUUGGGUCUGGGUUUAUCAAACACUGGAACUUCUGGUUUUGGGACGUCAGGAGCAUCUGCUAUUUCCAAGAGUGAAACACUGCAGGAAGUGGUCGUUGAAACCGGUGAAGAAAAUGAGGAAGUAGUUUUUAAUGCAGAUUCAGUGUUGUUUGAAUUUGUAGAGGGAGGUUGGAAGGAACGCGGAAAAGGAGAGGUGAAGGUGAAUGUCACAAGUGGAACAGAAAAGAAGGCCAGAGUUCUUAUGAGGUCUAAGGGAAAUUACAGAUUGAUUUUAAAUGCGCGUCUUUACCCCGAAAUGAAGCUCACAAAUAUGGAGAAAAAGGGUGUGACCUUUGCCUGUGCAACUGAAGGGAAAACUGGUCUUUCGACAUUUGCAUUGAAGUUCAGAGAUGGGUCCAUAGUGGAGGAUUUUAAGGCUGCUAUUACUGCACAUAAGGGUGAGGCAUCUACAACUGUGAAGACACCAGAAAAUUCUCCCAAGGCUUCUGAUGUUUGAGCUAUAUAUCCCACACUCACUCUUAUACUCAAUUUUCUCACAAACUCAGUUUCCUUAGCUGCUAUUUUGUUGUUGUUGUUGUUGUGUCUUUGUAUGACAGUUAAAUCAUAUUUGAGACUUGUUGUACUUCAAUUUGAGUCAACCUGCUAUGGUAGAGGGUUUUAAUGUUCUGGAUAAAGCGUGGAUCUAAAAUACAGAAUAUUCGAUUAUCAAAACUAUAUCUAGUGUUUAAAUUUUCUGACAUUUAAGUAUGAGGUAAGUUCUUGGAUAACCAACUCCUCAACAUGGUUUAUACUAAUGAUAAUAAGUGCAUGUUUGGUAAAGGGGAGUCGCCGAGAUUUUACAAGAGCUAUACUAGUUAGCUUUUGUAAAAUUACAAAUCCACACUGAUAUUAAAUAUGCACUAAAGUAAUUAUGAUUUUGAUUUUAUAUAGAUGUCAUUUUGUUAUAAAUGUGGAAUGAUUUACUCUCCUCAACAUGGUUUAUACUAAUGAUAAUAAUUGAUUAUGAUUUUGCUUUAUAUAUGGUAAAGACUGCCUCAAUAAGUAGAAAAUGGAAAUGAAGUUAAUUUUGAAAUAACAAAAUGUAGAUUUGGUUCAUAUAUAUGUUCAGAUGGGGGUGUUUGGAUCACAAAAUUCUUUCCCGUACACUUGUGCCCUAGAGGUAAAGAUGAGAAAAUUUUUAUUGAAAAAAUCAAUUAUAAAAUUAACUUUAUACCUUUAUUAAAAUCAAUAUAUAAUUUUUAACACAAAAUUAUUUUUUUUAGUUCUUAUCUUAUCUCCUUAGGACACAAGUUAAUAUUACCCUAACUUAUUUGCAAGAGUUUACUUAUCGAAAUAAAUGUUUUUGACUAAAUUUAUAAGUUAUUUUUAUAAUAAAAAAGUAAAAUUUACUUAUUUUUAUUUUAUUAUAAGUUGUUUUUAUAAAUUAUUUUAAAUCACUUUUAGAAUUUUUUUUACAAAAUAUAUAAAGAAUAUUAUAAGUUACUUUGAUAGAUCUCACAUUCAAUGAUACAAGCCUAUGUUGCUAGAUAAACUUAAAACAAAACAAUUUAAAUAGGCUCUUAGGGCUCAGUCUAUUCUCACAUAAGCGAGUAUAAAAUUAACUUUUUCUUGUCUUGUUUUAAAUAUUUAUUGGUGUUUAUAAACUGCAACUAAAUAUUAGUUUACUUUUUUUAAUUAUUUAGUGGCGCGGCGAUUUUAAACCGCCAUAAAUUUCCAAUAAUUAUUUUAUUACAGUUUAGAAUAAAUUGAAGAAAAAAUAUAAGUAGACAUUUAGCGUCGGCUUAAAACAUCUGUUAAAUAGCAGAAAUAAAAAGAAAAAAAUAACAAAAUCACUACUCACUUUACGGUCUUUCACGGUAGACAACACCGGCUAUUAGUGUAUAUGUGAAUUAUAUAUAUAUACAUACAUAUAUAUAUAUAUAUAUAUAUAUAUAUAUAUAUAUAUAUAUNGAGAAACCAAAAGGAUUAAGAGCGAAAAUAGUGAAAGCAAGAAGGAAAGGGAAAACAAAGUAUAGUGACGAGGCUACACUGAAGGUGGCCCAUUCAAAUCAUUUCAACCAGCUUUCCGAAGUAGUCAAAAUGCCUUCACAGGUCUUGUUGGAAUGGAUUUUCUUCUUCCUUAUUUUCCUUUGGGCCUUAAAACAAAUGAUGGGGUCUGCUUUAGGUUAGUGGAACUGCGUUCUAUUUUUGGCUUGAAACUUGACCAGCCUGUUGGGUCUGGGUUAUCAAACACUGGAACUUCUUGUUUUGGACGUCAGGAGAUUUCUGCCUAUUUCCAAGAGUGAAACACUGGCAGGAAGUGUGUCGUUGAAACCGGUGAAGAAAAUGAGGAAGUAGUUUUUAAUGCAGAUUCACGUUUGGUUGAAGUUGUGUAAGGAGGUUGGAAGGACGCCGGAAAAGGAAGGUGAAGUGAAUGUCACAAGAUGGAAACAGAAAAAGAAGGCCAGAGUUCUUAUGAGGCUCUAGCGGAAAUUACAGAUGAUUUUUAAAAUGCGCGUCUUUACCCCCGAAAAUGAAGCUCACAAAUAUGGAGAAAAAGGGUGUGACCUUUGGCCUGCUGCAACUGAAGGGAAAACUGGUUUUCGGACAUUUGCAUUUGAAGUUCAGAGAUGGUCCCAUAGUGGAGGAUUUUUAGCUGCUAUUUACUGCCAAUAAGGGUUUGAGGCAUCUACAAUGUGGAAGAACCAGAAAAUUCUCCCAAAGGACUUCUGAUGUUUUGAGCUAUAUAUUCCCACACUCACUCUUAUACUCAAUUUCUCACCAAACUCAGUUUCCUUAGCUGCCUAUUUUGUUGUGUUGGUUUGUUGUGUCUUGUAUGACAGUUUAAAAAUUCAUAUUAGACUUGUUGUACUUCAAUUUGGAGGUCAACCUGCUAUGGUAGAGGGUUUUAAUGUUCUGGAUAAAGCGUGGAUCUAAAAUACAGAAUAUUCGAU
This 3349-nucleotide long non-coding RNA is filed under the name Lathyrus oleraceus (garden pea). RNAcentral describes it as "Pisum sativum (pea) long non-coding RNA (PSAT_LNC032397)". The record is from RNAcentral. Lineage: Eukaryota; Viridiplantae; Streptophyta; Magnoliopsida; Fabales; Fabaceae.